GACUACAUGAAGCUGGAAUCGCUAGUAAUCGCGGAUCAGCACGCCGCGGUGAAUACGUUCCCGGGCCUUGUACACACCGCCCGUCACACCAUGGAAGUCUGCAAUGCCCGAAGCCGGUGGCCUAACCACUUAUGUGGAAGGAGCCGUCUAAGGCAGGGCAGAUGACUGGGGUGAAGUCGUAACAAGGUACC
This 191-nucleotide ribosomal RNA is filed under the name uncultured bacterium. Its description in RNAcentral is "partial 16S ribosomal RNA". It matches the Rfam family "Bacterial small subunit ribosomal RNA", at positions 1314 to 1500 of the family's 1533-position model. The record is from RNAcentral.